UAGGUCGCUGGUUCGAAUCCGGCAGGUCGGAGUCUCUUCCUUUUUUCUCCAAUCCCUCUUGCCCUCCUCUUUUUUUUCAUUUUUUUUUUUUUGUUUUCCCAGUUGGUUGAUCAGACUCCACCACCCAGUUCAUUUCCCCACAAAUCCAAAAUCGCCAUGGCUCGCCGACUCCUCGCCACCACCCACCUCCUAAACCCUAAUCCUAACCCUAAACCCUACUUCUUCCAAUUCUCCACCUCCUUCCUCAUCACCAAAACCCCCAAAAAUCUCCGAAAGAAGCGCAAGAACAAGGACAACAGCCCCAGAAGCAAGCUCAUUACCCACCAAUCCAGCCGCCUCUCCCACUUGGAGUCCAUCGUCGACCGCGACUCCACCUUCCGAUUCCUCACCAAAACCAAAGACUACCUCUCCAAGCAACCCCACCACGUCCUCCGCCUCGACGACGCCGGCAAGCUCCACCGCGAGCUAGGGUUUCCCCGCGGCCGCAAGGUCCUCCGCUCCAUCCUCCGCCACCCCCUCCUCUUCCAAACCUACCGCCACCACGACUCCAAGAUGUGGUUCGGGUUCACUGACUUCAUGGAGUCCCUGAUCGAACAAGAGACAGAUAUUAUGGAUUCGAUGGAGGAACGUAGAGUCACCACUGUUCGAAAACUGCUAAUGAUGUCCGCCAAGAAGCGAAUUGCUUUGAGCAAAUUGUAUCAUUGCAGGUUGUUGUUUGGGAUUCCUGAAGAUUUCAGAGAUAGGGUUUUGAAUUACCCUAAUUACUUCAGAGUUGUGGUUGAAGAUGAUGGAAAGAGAAUGCUUCAGCUUGUCAAUUGGGAUCCUUUGUUGGCAGUGAGUGACUUGGAGAGGGAAUUCAUGGUGGAUGAGGAUCGAGUGAAGAAAGCUUUCAAAUUUCCGGUGAAGCACGGGAAGGAAUUGGAUUUGGACCAGGACGAUUCGAGGAAGUUGAAUUUGCUGAACACCCUUCCGUUGGUUUCGCCUUAUUCGGAUGGGUCCAAGUUGGAUCUCUGGACAUUGGAGGCAGAGAAGUACAGGAUUGGGUUGUUGCACGAGUUCUUGAGCUUGACUUUGGAGAAGAGGGCUUCUAUACACCACAUUGUGGAGUUCAAGGAAGAGUUCAGUCUUACCAAGCAUACUUAUCAAAUGCUUUUGAAGCAGCCGAGGACUUUUUACUUGGCUGGUACAGAGAUGAAUUGGGUUGUGUUUUUGAAGGAUGCUUAUAGUGAAGAUGGUGUCUUGAUCAAUAAGGAUCCACAGGUGGUUUUCAAUGAGAAGUUGUAUAGAUUUGCACAGAUGCAAGAGAUGGAACCGGGUUCUGAUUGCAACUGAUCAAUUUCUAAUGGGUGCACCGCAAUGUCUUGUUGCUUUUGCCAAUUGAGCAAAGGUUUUCAAUGGGUGUGCAAUCUCGUAUGUGUUCUUGCAAAUCGAGCAAAGCUCUAUGGGCAAAACUGUGAUUAAAAGUUUUAUUGUGCACUCACGAGGUUGAAAGUCUAUGUUGAUCUCAUCUUGUUCAUGGUGGAUACUAGUACAUUCUCAAGACAAGCAGCAAGUCUAAAUCUUACUGAUUAGAAUAUUGCAAGAAAUGGGUUCAAUCCUGAAUUGUAUGUCUAGAAGUUUUUCUCUAUAUUUAUUGGGCUGCAAAUUAAGCUGGAGAAGGGAAAGAUGCUGUUUCACAAUAAUCAGCAGCACUAAUCACACAGAGGUAAAGAAUAUGGUUAACUUCUGAUCUACACAUAAUGCAAAUACUACUAAAAAUGUUUUUGCAACACUUUAGGAUACACACCCCUUGAUGCCUCAAUAGCCAUCCCACUUUAGUUCAGUGGACUUCAACCCCUGACCUCAUUUCUGAUACACUUUAAGAAGCUCACCUGACACCACUAAGCAUCAACACUUGGUUGUUUUAGGGUUUUGUUUUAUUCACAUCAUCUUUUCUGGGAGUGAACAAUUGAUAAAGAUGUAUAGCAUAUCACAGUAAGUAUUUGUCUCCUGGUUUACUGGACACUCUUUUCCCUACCACGUGAUAUAAGCCACGAUAGAUUAGGAAGCUAAAACUUAAAAGAGAUGAGGAAAACAUUGUCCUGGUGUGGUUCAGAUUUUGCAAAUUUCCUCCAAGAUAAGUAUUGGCAGCUGCAGGCAGUCUCUCCAGAUCAGAACAAGACCCUUGCAGCACCUAUCCUUUUCCAUCAUUCUAUCUUCAAUAAUUAUACAGACACAUAAUCAAUAAUAGAACCAACC
Camellia sinensis is the source of this 2238-nucleotide non-coding RNA. The record is from RefSeq and is a predicted model, not a curated record. NCBI's taxonomy places the organism in Eukaryota, Viridiplantae, Streptophyta, Magnoliopsida, Ericales, Theaceae.